This 497-nucleotide ribosomal RNA is filed under the name uncultured bacterium. RNAcentral's name for it is "partial 16S ribosomal RNA". It matches the Rfam family "Bacterial small subunit ribosomal RNA", at positions 28 to 507 of the family's 1533-position model. The record is from RNAcentral.
GAUGAACGCUGGCGGCGUGCCUAAUACAUGCAAGUCGAGCGAACGGACGAGAAGCUUGCUCCCCUGAUGUUAGCGGCGGACGGGCGAGUAACACGUGCAUAACCUAUCUAUAAGACUGGGAUAACUUCGGGAAACCGGAGCUAAUACCGCAUGAUAUUUUGAACCGCAUGGUUCAAAAGUGAAAGACGGUCUUGCCGUCUCUUAUAGAUGGAUCCGCGCUGCAUUAGCUAGUUGGUAAGGUAACGGCUUACCAAGGCAACGAUGCGUAGCCGACCUGAGAGGGUGAUCGGCCACACUGGAACUGAGACACGGUCCAGACUCCUACGGGAGGCAGCAGUAGGGAAUCUUCCGCAAUGGGCGAAAGCCUGACGGAGCAACGCCGCGUGAGUGAUGAAGGUCUUCGGAUCGUAAAGCUCUGUUAUUAGGGAAGAACAGAUGUGUAAGUAACUGUGCACAUCUUGACGGUACCUAAUCAGAAAGCCACGGCUAACUACGUG